This 412-nucleotide ribosomal RNA is filed under the name uncultured bacterium. RNAcentral describes it as "bacterial SSU rRNA". It matches the Rfam family "Bacterial small subunit ribosomal RNA", at positions 359 to 776 of the family's 1533-position model. The record is from RNAcentral.
GAAUCUUGCGCAAUGGGCGAAAGCCUGACGCAGCGACGCCGCGUGGGGGGUGAAGCUUUUCGGAGUGUAAACCCCUUUCGACCCGGAUGAAAACCCGCAAGGGUCUGACAGUACGGGUAUAAGAAGCCCCGGCUAACUACGUGCCAGCAGCCGCGGUAAGACGUAGGGGGCCAGCGUUGCUCGGAAUUACUGGGCGUAAAGGGUUCGUAGGCGGUGCGGCAAGUCGGGAGUGAAAUCCUGGGGCUUAACUUCAGGACUGCUCCCGAAACUGCUGUGCUGGAGUGCGGGAGAGGCGAGUGGAAUUGCCGGUGUAGCGGUGAAAUGCGUAGAUAUCGGCAGGAACACCAGUGGCGAAGGCGGCUCGCUGGACCGCAACUGACGCUGAGGAACGAAAGCUAGGGGAGCAAACAGG